Molecule: ribosomal RNA, 789 nt
Filed under: uncultured Acidobacteriota bacterium
Lineage: Bacteria; Pseudomonadati; Acidobacteriota
Description: bacterial SSU rRNA
Rfam family: Bacterial small subunit ribosomal RNA
Source: RNAcentral
CUGCGCUGCUAGACUGCAAGUCGAACGAGAAAGUCCCCUUCGGGGGAUAAGUAAAGUGGCGCACGGGUGAGUAACACGUAGGUAAUCUACCUUCGGGUGGGGAAUAACCCAGGGAAACUUGGGCUAACACCGCAUGAUGCAGCGGCACCACAUGGUGACAGUUGUUAAAGCGGGGGAUUUUAGGACCUCGCGCCUGAAGAGGAGCCUGCGGCGGAUUAGCUAGUUGGUGAGGUAACGGCUCACCAAGGUCACGAUCCGUAGCCGGCCUGAGAGGGCGGUCGGCCACACUGACACUGACAUACGGGUCAGACUCCUACGGGAGGCAGCAGUCGGGAAUUUUGGGCAAUGGGCGAAAGCCUGACCCAGCAACGCCGCGUGAAGGAUGAAAUCCCUCGGGAUGUAAACUUCGCAAGAAUGGGAAGAAUUAGUAGGGGCUAAUACCCCCUAUGAUGACGGUACCAUUUGUAAGCUCCGGCUAACUCCGUGCCAGCAGCCGCGGUAAUACGGGGGGAGCAAGCGUUGUUCGGAUUUACUGGGCGUAAAGGGCGCGUAGGCGGCCACUGCAAGUCAGUUGUGAAAUCUCCGGGCUUAACUCGGAAAGGUCAACUGAUACUGCAGGGCUAGAGUGCGGAAGGGGCAACUGGAAUUCUCGGUGUAGCGGUGAAAUGCGUAGAUAUCGAGAGGAACACCUGCGGCGAAAGCGGGUUGCUGGGCCGACACUGACGCUGAGGCGCGAAAGCCAGGGGAGCGAACGGGAUUAGAUACCCCGGUAGUCCUGGCCUUAAACGA